GGGUCAGUAGGUUGGUCGUGCCACCGGUACGUACUGGUCUCACUGAUUCCUCCUUCCUGAAGAACCGUAAUGCCAUUAAUUUGGUGUUGCGGGGAAACAGGACUGUUACUUUGAAAAAAUUAGAGUGUUUAAAGCAAGCUAACGCCUGAAUACGUUAGCAUGGAAUAAUGAAAUAGGACGAUCGAUCCUAUUUUGUUGGUUUCUAGGAUUGACGUA
RNAcentral lists this ribosomal RNA (216 nucleotides) under Glomeromycotina sp. RNAcentral describes it as "partial small subunit ribosomal RNA". The stretch from base 40 to 216 matches the Rfam family "Eukaryotic small subunit ribosomal RNA", at positions 686 to 864 of the family's 1831-position model. Lineage: Eukaryota; Fungi; Glomeromycota. The record is from RNAcentral.